UCGCGAAAACUUCACAAUGGGGGGAAACCCCGAUGAGGGAAUUCCAAGUGCCAGCACAUUGUGUUGGCUGUUCUCUGGUCUAAAAAACCGGAGAAGUAAGGGCCGGGUAAGACGGGUGCCAGCCGCCGCGGUAAUACCCGCGGCCCGAGUGGUGGUCGAUAUUAUUGAGCCUAAAACGUCCGUAGCCGGUCCUGUAAAUCCUUGGGUAAAUCGACCAGCUUAACUGUUCGAAGUCCGGGGAGACUGCAAGACUUGGGAUCGGGAGAGGUCAGAGGUACUUCUGGGGUAGGGGUAAAAUCCUGUAAUCCUAGAAGGACCACCGGUGGCGAAGGCGUCUGACUAGAACGAAUCCGACGGUGAGGGACGAAGCCCUGGGGCGCAAACGGGGAUUAGGAUACCCCGGUAGUCCGAGGGUGUAAACGCUGCGGGCUUGGUGUUGGGGUCCUUUGAGGGCGCCCAGUGCCGGAGAGAAGUUGUUAAGCCUGCUGCUUGGGGAGUACGUCCGCAAGGAUGAAACUUAAAGGAAUUGGCGGGGGAGUACCACAACGCGUGGAGCCUGCGGUUUAAUUGGAUUCAAC
Molecule: ribosomal RNA, 578 nt
Filed under: uncultured Thermoplasmatales archaeon
Lineage: Archaea; Methanobacteriati; Thermoplasmatota; Thermoplasmata; Thermoplasmatales
Description: bacterial SSU rRNA
Rfam family: Archaeal small subunit ribosomal RNA
Source: RNAcentral